RNAcentral lists this ribosomal RNA (468 nucleotides) under uncultured bacterium. RNAcentral's name for it is "partial 16S ribosomal RNA". It matches the Rfam family "Bacterial small subunit ribosomal RNA", at positions 28 to 507 of the family's 1533-position model. The record is from RNAcentral.
GACGAACGCUGGCGGCGUGCUUAACACAUGCAAGUCGAACGGAAAGGCCCUGCUUUUGUGGGGUGCUCGAGUGGCGAACGGGUGAGUAACACGUGAGUAACCUGCCCUUGACUUUGGGAUAACUUCAGGAAACUGGGGCUAAUACCGGAUAGGAGCUCCUGCUGCAUGGUGGGGGUUGGAAAGUUUCGGCGGUUGGGGAUGGACUCGCGGCUUAUCAGCUUGUUGGUGGGGUAGUGGCUUACCAAGGCUUUGACGGGUAGCCGACCUGAGAGGGUGACCGGCCACAUUGGGACUGAGAUACGGCCCAGACUCCUACGGGAGGCAGCAGUGGGGAAUAUUGCACAAUGGGCGGAAGCCUGAUGCAGCAACGCCGCGUGCGGGAUGACGGCCUUCGGGUUGUAAACCGCUUUCGCCUGUGACGAAGCGUGAGUGACGGCAAUGGGUAAAGAAGCACCGGCUAACUACGUG